CAUUUUUCCAGUAAACUGUCUCAUUUUCACUGGAUUGUGUUUUUAUAAGAACAGGAACAGAGAAACAAAGAGAUGUGAAAUAGGCUCCUUUGUAGGACUGAAUGGAAAUGAACCACAAGAAAUGGAGUUUGUGAACCAUCUGCCCUUCUAUGUAGCUGAAAUUCUCUCAGGAAAUAACAUCAUAGAUAAAUGAGAGAAGGAGCUAAGAGGGAAAUGAGAAUUUAUCAAGAUUUCGAUUUUGAAGUCUUAUCUAUCACAAGCUAAGGAGAAGGAACUAUUAAAAGGAACUACUAAAAACAAACAAACAAAAAACAAUUAAGGGACUUCCUUGAGGAGGAGAACAUAUACCAUGAAGAACAGUUAUGAAAGCUAAGGUAGAAGAGCAUUUCAGAUUUUCAAAGACAUUGAUAAUAAUACAUCAUCUUUACUUUUACAGAAGAAUUUUAUUCCAUAAUCUAGCACUUAAGGAAACCUAGGUGUGGCUAAUAUUUCUGUUUAUAAAGAGACCAGUUACAGUUUAUGAAAACCUGGAUGCAUCUCAAUUCACAAGAAUAAACCAAUAUCUGCCAGACAAAGCUAACUCUCUUUUGUCCAGGAAAGUCUGUGUUUCUGAAGAACUGAAAUGAAUCUAAAAAAUACUUAUUGAAAGUAUAUAAUAUAUACAUAUGUUUCAACAAAAAGCUCUAUACCCAAAACUCCAGACUGAUGAACUUAACACCCUAGCUAAUGGUAGGAUAAGCAGUGCUGAAGAUAGACUAGCCUUGUAUUUCUGCCAAUACUUUGACAAAUUCUGGAAGCUGUCUCCAAGUAGAAUUAAAUGGACCAGCAGUUCUACUUUUCGUGCUGUUAUUUUUCCUAUUUGUUAUCAAAACAGGUAUUAUUAAGC
RNAcentral lists this long non-coding RNA (886 nucleotides) under Manacus vitellinus (golden-collared manakin). Its description in RNAcentral is "lncRNA (ENSMVIG00005007224.1)". The record is from RNAcentral. Lineage: Eukaryota; Metazoa; Chordata; Aves; Passeriformes; Pipridae.